GCAGUGGUGGCUCAGUGGUUAACGUUCUGGGUUACUGCCCCGAAGAUUCGGGGUUCAAGCCCUAUCACUGCU
Molecule: non-coding RNA, 72 nt
Organism: Pangasius djambal
Lineage: Eukaryota; Metazoa; Chordata; Actinopteri; Siluriformes; Pangasiidae
Source: the annotation of a GenBank genome assembly